GAUAGAACGCUGACGGCGUGCCUAACACAUGCAAGCCGAACGGAACUUUACAGAUUGAGACUUCGGUCGAUUGAAGUUUAAGUUUAGUGGCGGACGGGUGAGUAACGCGUGAGUAACCUGCCUUUCACAGGGGGAUAACGUUUGGAAACGAACGCUAAUACCGCAUAACAUAGCGGAGUCGCAUGGCUCUGCUAUCAAAGAUUUUAUCGGUGAAAGAUGGACUCGCGUCCGAUUAGGUAGUUGGUGAGGUAACGGCUCACCAAGCCGACGAUCGGUAGCCGGACUGAGAGGUUGAACGGCCACAUUGGGACUGAGACACGGCCCAG
RNAcentral lists this ribosomal RNA (326 nucleotides) under uncultured bacterium. Its description in RNAcentral is "bacterial SSU rRNA". It matches the Rfam family "Bacterial small subunit ribosomal RNA", at positions 31 to 334 of the family's 1533-position model. The record is from RNAcentral.